This 468-nucleotide ribosomal RNA is filed under the name uncultured bacterium. RNAcentral describes it as "partial 16S ribosomal RNA". It matches the Rfam family "Bacterial small subunit ribosomal RNA", at positions 28 to 507 of the family's 1533-position model. The record is from RNAcentral.
GACGAACGCUGGCGGCGUGCUUAACACAUGCAAGUCGAACGGAAAGGCCCUGCUUUUGUGGGGUGCUCGAGUGGCGAACGGGUGAGUAACACGUGAGUAACCUGCCCUUGACUUUGGGAUAACUUCAGGAAACUGGGGCUAAUACCGGAUAGGAGCUCCUGCUGCAUGGUGGGGGUUGGAAAGUUUCGGCGGCUGGGGAUGGACUCGCGGCUUAUCAGCUUGUUGGUGGGGUAGUGGCUUACCAAGGCUUUGACGGGUAGCCGGCCUGAGAGGGUGACCGGCCACAUUGGGACUGAGAUACGGCCCAGACUCCUACGGGAGGCAGCAGUGGGGAAUAUUGCACAAUGGGCGGAAGCCUGAUGCAGCAACGCCGCGUGCGGGAUGACGGCCUUCGGGUUGUAAACCGCUUUCGCCUGUGACGAAGCGUGAGUGACGGUAAAGGGUAAAGAAGCACCGGCUAACUACGUG